AUUGAACGCUGGCGGCGUGCUUAACACAUGCAAGUCGUGCGGUAACAGGCGUAGCAAUACGUGCUGACGAGCGGCGAACGGGUGCGUAAUACAUGGGAAUCUGCCCUUUAGUGGGGAAUAACCCGGCGAAAGCCGGGCUAAUGCCGCAUAAGAUCUUCGGAUGAAAGCGGGGGAUCGUAAGACCUCGCGCUGAUGGAUGAGCCCAUGCCGGAUUAGCUAGUUGGUGAGGUAACGGCUCACCAAGGCGACGAUCCGUAGCUGGUCUGAGAGGACGGCCAGCCACACUGGGACUGAGACACGGCCCAGACUCCUACGGGAGGCAGCAGUGGGGAAUAUUGGACAAUGGGGGAAACCCUGAUCCAGCGACGCCGCGUGUGUGAAGAAGGCCUGCGGGUUGUAAAGCACUUUCGGUGGGAAC
Molecule: ribosomal RNA, 418 nt
Filed under: uncultured bacterium
Lineage: Bacteria
Description: bacterial SSU rRNA
Rfam family: Bacterial small subunit ribosomal RNA
Source: RNAcentral